RNAcentral lists this long non-coding RNA (3361 nucleotides) under Zalophus californianus (California sea lion). RNAcentral describes it as "lncRNA (ENSZCAG00015018270.1)". Lineage: Eukaryota; Metazoa; Chordata; Mammalia; Carnivora; Otariidae. The record is from RNAcentral.
AAUGCGCAAGCGCAGAAGAGGCCGCUCGGGGUCCUUGGGACUUGAACUGUGGUUCAAGUGGGUGUUUGGGUCUCCUUACACACCCGUGGGUUUUGACACCGUCUGUGCGUGUUUGUGUAUGUGCACACGUGCGGAUUUACAUUCGUAUGCGGCAGAAGUACUGCCCAAUUUGGCCUUCCUCUAGCCGUCUUCUCAGCCGGCUCUCCACUUACAGUGACAGAAGCGUUUCUGGGCAUGGUUCACGCUUAUUGCAUUUUUUUCUCUUUGAACUGAAAACGAAAGAAACUCCUCGUUUCUCGAGUGGUUUGUGUUAGCCGGGCCGAAACCGGAACACCCAGCCCCUUUCUCUCGGCCUGGCGGGACUGAGACCCGGCAGUGGGAGGGGCGUUCACCGCAGGCGGAGGGCGCCCCAGGUGCGUGGAGGCGGACUGGGGUGCGGGCCUGAAGGCCCAGAGCAUCUCCCGCUGUCUGCUUUGAGUACUUUGUUUUCCCACGCCUCCAGCUUUUAAACUGAAAGACUUCCCUCCAAAGGGCUUUUUGUGCAAGGCAGAAGAUUUAGACUCACUCACCUGUGAAUCCCUGGGACAAUGGAGCUAAUGUCAAAAGGGCCCAUUGAAAGUUCAGCAUUUCGAGAUCUCCUGCUGACUUCUUACAGUGUGCCCCAGAGAGCGUCCUUCCUGGCCCUGCAGGAUGAAAGUUGGCUCCUGUUGUCUGUACAGCUAUUGGACGGUGUUGGUUAUAUUAUCUGGCACGAGUUGCACUUUUCCUUUUCCUUUUCAGGGGAGUUCUCUCAAGGAAAAGAUACUUACUGUGCUUUUGUCCCCUUUGGCCUGGAAAAAAGUUUAGUUUGAUUUUCUAUUUACCAUUUCUCGUCUCUCCUCUGAUGCCUUUGGCAAGGCAAGAGUUCUCUCAUCGGUUCUUGCGAUUGGCAUCUGAGUCAGGUUUCUGACUUCUGUUACCACAUGACUAUUCUUUUCGGUGAAUUACAUGGGUCAUCACUGCCUAUGGGUUGAAAGCUCAAGAAAGUUUAGGGAUAAAAGAGUUGGGGAAAGAGGCACAUAGACAAAGAGGUGGGACAUGCAUCAAAGCACAGGACAGCACAUCGUGCAUUGAGAGAGGUCUCAAAAUAGAAAGUACUUCUCUUGGGAUUCACCACCACAGGCCUUGGCAGACAGCCCACCCUUAUCACCAUUAAUUUUUAGAGUUUGAAUUGGGCAACACACUCUGUGUUUAAGCUGUUAACCUCCAGCCUCAAGGCCACAGCUGCUGGAAGAAUUCCUCUUUCAAGCUGUGGUCUCAUCACAGUUCUUCAUCUGGACACACCACAAAGGGCGAAUGUUCCUAAAUUCCAGUCCCAUGAUUCCGGGAUGCUAUAUAUACCCGGGCACCUCGCACUCCUUUACUCCAGGACGUGCGCACACAGGGCAGAACCUUCCAGUCGUGGAUUGUGGCACAGCCGUUGCAUGCUGUGCGCAUGCGUGUGUGCGUACGUGCGCUGCAAGAGUGUAGCUCCUUCGAUGCCUAGUAUGAGAACCGCUCUGCAGACUUUUUGUCUUCUACUUCCAUAAAGAAUAAAACCUGAAACAACGUGCGUAGUCUGAGACAAUUCAGGACUUUCUAGAACCUGGCUUUUCACAGCAGAGGGCUGCUCCAGGUCUAGAGACACGUUAUGGCUCUCAGGUUGGAGAGUUGUGAAGACUGCCCAAUUUUCCUUGCCUUGUGCUAUGAAUUUACACCCAAGCCAUCAGCAGAGGGCUCCCUCAACCUUAGAAGCUGGUAUUGAUGCUUGCAAGGCCAAGCAAAGUAAAUGAGAGAAGAAAUGCAGAUCUGACUGUGAGUUUAAAAUCCAAUGCCCCAAAGUGCUUUUGUAGAGAAGAAACCCUAACCCAUCCUGAAAACAGACCACUUCAGCAAGAAGGCAUUUGCUAGCGUUUACAUUAAAUGACACUGUUUAAAUUCCUGGAUCAAGGUCAGCAUAAUGUUUAUGCUCAGAGUAACACGUAGCUAAGUUAUCCUUCAGAGAACCUGAGAAGCUGAGCAACUCCCUGACCAAUGGUUUAAUUGCUUCUGGACUGGUGGCUCGACGCUUCCUAAGUGUUGAAUCACAGCACUCUUGAUCACCAUGGGUCCCAGGACUGAACCAAAGCUCUACAGAUGGCCAGAUCCCUAUGUGGCAUUUGCCUAGAUCAGGCUAAACAUCAAGAGCACCAGAUUGACAAAGCACAACGCUAAGGUAUAGUGGGUCACGAUCUGUGAGGGCAACUGGAAUUGGCCAACUGCUCUAAACUGAAAUGGAGAAGGCUGCAUGGUGAAAAUGAGAUCAGGAAAAGGGAAACAGGACCCUGCCAAAACAACAUCUAUCUAAGUUAAUAGCUCUUGAGACAGUUCAGACUUUCCCCUCUGAAGACGCCGAAGCCUAGGAUCCAAUGCCAGGUAUUAGUUAGAAUCCUUCCUUGGAAGUUGCUAGACAACCUCUGUCCAGGUUUUAUUACCUAACUCUUUUCCCUCAGCUCUAGGGAAAGAAUGACAUUCCUUUAUCAUAACUUCAUCGGAGACGUGUUACAGUGAAUGCCACCACUGCUUGUUGGACAUCAGGUAGGCUUGGGAAUUAUAGAGGAAUGCCCUGGGUUCCUUGACUACAUUUGGAAGGUAUUCUUGCUUCUCUUUUGGGGGUGAGGGGGGACAAUACACGGUUAGUGGGUGAGGUUUUCUGACCUUUUCAAAUUCCAGGGAAAAGAGGCAGCACACUGUGGACAAAACUGACCUCCCACCUGCCUUGUAUAAAAAACGUAUCAAGGCAACAAGGGCAAACAGCCAAGGGGCAGACUACAGCACAGCACACUGAGUGGACUUGAGGGAAAGUGGGAUUUGUGAGGUCAUGGUUAAUCAUCAUGAUCUGGAGACUUUUCCGAGAAGAAGCAUGUGUCCUCCUUGUGAUAGAAAAGCAAAUGUAUACGAGGAGAAACCAGGCUACUGCAGUGGGAAACGGCCAGUUUCUGUUUGUACUGGCUUCUUUCAUUCAGAUGUUUCCAUCAGUACAUUCAGAUUGAUUCCAUUUGCAAAGCUCUCCUGGCAGCCUUGGUGGAGGAGGCUUGGUGGCAACAUCUCUGGCAUUUUCUGAGCCUGCCCAGGCCUUGCUCUUCUUGUGUCGUUUCUUGGCACUGGGGCUCCUAAGCAGAAAUUGGCGAAGCAGACGCUGCUGCUGAACAAAACCAAAUGCAAAACAGAACAUUGGAACACUGAACGAAGAGGCUUUUCUAAAUGUGGGGGGCGGGAAUGCAGUGGAGAACAGCGAGGGAUCAGGAUAGGGAGGGGCUUCCUUAGAACCAGGCUGAAUCAUGCUCUGGUGAGGUUUGUCAUU